AUGUCCUGCAGAGCUCGCCUGGCGGCCGGGCCUCCCGCCGCGCCCUUCUGGGAGAUGCUGGCGCUGCUGGCCCAGGAGCCAGGCAUGGAGUGGCUGCAGCUGGGCCUCGCCGGCCAGGCGGAUCCUCUGCCGUUGUGUGGGACCGCGGCGGUGGCGCAUCCUGGUGUUUUGUGGCGGUGCGGAGACUGCGAUGUGGUGACUGGAAGGGAGUUCAGGUGUCCUGGGAAACACUCCUUGGGACCUUGGCCUCUGAAGACAUUGUUGUUGUUGGAGUGUUCAGGGGAUGUUAGGCUGUGGCAAGCCUACCUCGAAGGACUGAAGAAAUUCCUUGCCUUUAGGAAAGGCAUGGGGAUGCCUGCAGCCUGGCCGAUUCCAGAGGAUCAAGUUAGAGGGUUUUUGGCUGUGGAGUCUCUUUACUCAUCCUCAAAGACGUUGAUGUAUGUGGCAGCACUGUCUUACUUGUCGAGACUGACCGGUAACCCUGAUCCUCUAGAAGAUGCUAUAACCUGUUGCAUGGUGAUAGGGUUGAAACGUCAAGUGGGCAUUCUGAGGGAUAAAUACACUCCUAUAACAAUUGAGGUGUUACGCUCUCUCUUAGGAGCUCUGGAGUCUGUAUGUGUAUCCCAUUAUGAAUGCUUGCUGUUUCGUGCCUUGUUCACUGCAGCUUUUUUCGGGGCACUUCGAAUAGGAGAGAUGGUGGCAAAGCACCGUGCUGUACUGCAGCCAGAACUGCUGCACUUGAGUGACAUCCAGGUGACAGAAAGCAGAGCGGUGUUUUGUCUGCGUAACUCUCCUGUUGGCCAGGAGAGGCAUGUCAUCAGCCUCGGGCUGUCUGGGGAGCCAUGGGUGUGCCCUGUCCUGGCCCUCCAGAGCUACGUGAUGCUGCGUUCACCACUUGAAGGGCCGCUCUUUGUGCACACAGAUAACAUGCCAGUCACAAGGAGGGAGUUCCUGGCUGUGCUCCGACGGGCCCUGAGGCUGCUGGGGCUGCCUGCGGAGCGGUACGGCGUGCAUUCCUUCUGGCUGGGGACUGUCCUCACUGCUGCACGCUGCGGGUAUCCCGGGGAGGACAUCACCCGCCUGGCGAGGUGGCCCUGUGUGAUCCCAGAGAGGCCAUAGCCAUGGAGGCUGGGGGGGAAAUAGCUCCUGACUUCUCCCCUUUCUGUAAGGGUUUAACCACAUAGUUUCUAGUUGGUGGCAGUAACUUAAGUACCAAUGCCUGUAAUGAUUUUUCUGCCUCACACCACAGUGGCUCCUGAAGUUCGCCUGCAGUCGCUGCUUACACUGUCUGUAGCCCCAGGGGUGGGGGGGUGUCAGACCCCCUGCAUGUAGACCUUGUGUGCCUUGACAGCAAGUCUGCAGAUGCUUUUAUUUUGUGUCACUUGAAUUAAUAAAUGCUUCCUUUUUUAAAACA
RNAcentral lists this long non-coding RNA (1414 nucleotides) under Anser brachyrhynchus (Pink-footed goose). RNAcentral's name for it is "lncRNA (ENSABRG00000004483.1)". The record is from RNAcentral. Lineage: Eukaryota; Metazoa; Chordata; Aves; Anseriformes; Anatidae.